RNAcentral lists this unclassified non-coding RNA (226 nucleotides) under Hevea brasiliensis (rubber tree). Lineage: Eukaryota; Viridiplantae; Streptophyta; Magnoliopsida; Malpighiales; Euphorbiaceae. The record is from RNAcentral.
GGAAAAAACUCGCUCUUCGCCGACUUCUCGACCUUAUCAGCAGCAGCACCGGUUCCGAAAAUGGAAAACCUAGAUCCAAACAUUGGCCUCUGCUUGAGAUGCCACUUUUUCACUUCCUAUAAGUCUCCUUUGAGAGUUUCAGGGGAACUCACGCCGCUGUUCGUGGGUUCGAAAGCUGCCGUCCCACGUUAUGGAAUAGACGUUGGAGCCCUCGAGUCGCCGUGGG